Anolis carolinensis (green anole) is the source of this 1796-nucleotide long non-coding RNA. RefSeq lists it as uncharacterized. The record is from RefSeq and is a predicted model, not a curated record. NCBI's taxonomy places the organism in Eukaryota, Metazoa, Chordata, Lepidosauria, Squamata, Anolidae. The transcript has 2 exons.
UCACCACCAUCUCCCUGAAGGGACGUAGGGCAGCUGACACACAGCACAAAAGUGCCUAAAACAGAGCAUAAAAUAAAAUACAAUAUAAAAAUGCAAUUAAAUAAAACAAAUAAGCAUAUAAAACAACAAUUUAAAACUCUAUUUACAACUCAAUUAGAAUCAUAAAGCUGAAAGAGAGCUCAAAGACCAUCCAGUCCAAAUUCCUACCAUGCAGGAAUACACAAAGCACUCCUGAAAGAUGACCAUCUGGUCUCUGCUUAAAAACCUCCAGAGGCAGAUAUUCCACCGUACUCUGGGACAGCACAUGCCACUGUCAAACAGCUCUUACUCACAGCAUUUUUUUCCUAACGAUUAAGUGGAAUCUCUUUUCCUUUAGUUUUAAUCCAUUUCUCUAUCGCUUACUAGUUUCUGGAAUAGCAGAAAACAAGCUUGCUCCCUCCACAAUGUGAAAUCCUUUCAAAUAUUUAAACAUAGCUAUUAUGCCCCUUCUUCAUCUUAUUGUCUCCAGGGUAAACAUACCCAUUUCUCAGGGCCCUUCCUGUUGUGACUGCGCCUUCGGGGAUUAUGGUUGAUGGUGAUGGGAUUUGAAGAGGAAGAAAAAACCCUCGUGAUGAGGGUUCGCUGGAGGAGUUUCACAGGAAGCGACUUAGAGAGCUAUAUGGGGGAUCUUCUGAGGAAGAUUCAGAUGGGGAGUUUGGGGAAAUGGAUGCUGAGGAACAGGUGGUGGCUGGGGAAGUGGGCACUGAAUGAGCACAGCCACCGGAGAUGUCUGGGGAUUUGGGGCCUACGGAUACUACUGAACCUGGGGUUUCUGCAGGAGCUGAUCCCACUUGGGAUGCUUGGAGAAGGGAGGAUGGUUCUUUAAGUGUUCAUGGGGCUAAGUGUGGACAGGAUGAUUGGGACUCCGACGAAUUGCUAGGUACUCCGGAUCCACAAGCUCUAGCUGUGUGGAGUUCGGACUCUGAGUAGAUUUGGGACACCUGGUGUUUGGGUGUGAGUGUUUGGUCACCCAGGAGGAAGGGGAAUAAAAUGGGAAUGUUUGGCCACUGCACUUUGCGUGUGGCAAGGUGUUGCUGAGGCGCUAUUGGGAUCUCUGUGUUUCCGUGAAGACUGGACUUGGACUGUGAUUCGGAUCUGCUGAUACCAUCUGGCUUGGCUCUCGCUGUGUCUUAUCGUGGACCUGGUUUGGAUGACUGCACCCUCUUUGGACUUUGGAUUGAAUUUGACCUGGCUUCUGUCUACGCCCUCUGACUGACGACUACUCCCGGCUUCUGACUACUGGUUUGCCUUUCGGAAUUUGCUGCUGCCUCCUGACCUGACCUUGGAUUCUCCUGAUGACGGCUAUUUAUCAUCCCUUUGAAGCUUCGGCUUUAUCUGCACCGUGGAAGCAGUUUAUUGCUCUUCUAGUUUGUUUGUUUUCAAGCCAGUUUGCUGUUUUUCUUUUGGGAACUGUCCCUUUAAAUCCGCAGAGCCGGCUGUCUGUUUUCAGAAACGGUUUGAAGCCAAAAGAGGCUUUUGCAUUUUCAGUUAUACUCUGCAGCUUUUGUAAGGUUUCAAGCCUUCGUUUAUUUUGUAUAUUAUCUUGCAGUCAACUCUAUUUGUUCUCCAAAGCUGAAUUGAAGCGUCUUUUUAGUUUUUAUUGAAUGCCAGCAUGGGAAAAUAGCAUGGCUUGUUUUUGAGUUAUUUUUGUCCAAACUACUCUUGAAACACUGAUAAGUGAAGUGUUUCAAGGAUACUUUCUGUGUUUAUGUUAUUUUUUGGCUUAUCUUCGGAAUAAACUCUGUUUUGUUUGUUAA